AAUCUUCCGCAAUGGACGCAAGUCUGACGGAGCAACGCCGCGUGAACGAUGAAGGCCUUCGGGUCGUAAAGUUCUGUUGUUAGGGAAGAACAAGUACCAUUCGAAUAGGGUCGUACCUUGACGGUCUCUAACCAGAAAUCCACGGCUCACUACUUUCCAGCAGCCGCGGUAAUACGCAGGUGGCAAGCGGUGUCCGGAAUUAUUGGGCGUAAAGCGCGCGCAGGCGGUCUUUUAAGUCUGAUGUGAAAGCCCCCGGCUCAACCGGGGAGGGUCAUUAGAAACUGGGAGACUUGAGUGCAGAAGAGGAGAGUGGAAUUCCAUGUGUAGCGGUGAAAUGCGUAGAGAUAUGGAGGAACACCAGUGGCGAAGGCGACUCUCUGGUCUGUAACUGACGCUGAGGCGCGAAAGCGUGGGGAGCAAAC
RNAcentral lists this ribosomal RNA (422 nucleotides) under uncultured bacterium. RNAcentral's name for it is "partial 16S ribosomal RNA". It matches the Rfam family "Bacterial small subunit ribosomal RNA", at positions 360 to 773 of the family's 1533-position model. The record is from RNAcentral.